UACGAAGGGGGCUAGCGUUGUUCGGAAUUACUGGGCGUAAAGCGCACGUAGGCGGAAUGUUAAGUCAGGGGUGAAAUCCCGGGGCUCAACCCCGGAACUGCCUUUGAUACUGGCAUUCUCGAGUCCGGAAGAGGUGAGUGGAAUUCCGAGUGUAGAGGUGAAAUUCGUAGAUAUUCAGAGGAACACCAGUGGCGAAGGCGGCUCACUGGUCCGGUACUGACGCUGAGGUGCGAAAGCGUGGGGAGCAAACAGG
This 253-nucleotide ribosomal RNA is filed under the name uncultured bacterium. Its description in RNAcentral is "partial 16S ribosomal RNA". It matches the Rfam family "Bacterial small subunit ribosomal RNA", at positions 524 to 776 of the family's 1533-position model. The record is from RNAcentral.